Gallus gallus (chicken) is the source of this 1874-nucleotide long non-coding RNA. NCBI's taxonomy places the organism in Eukaryota, Metazoa, Chordata, Aves, Galliformes, Phasianidae. The record is from Ensembl.
ACAAAUGAGCACCUAGUGACAAAUUUGUGAUCUAGGACCACAAAUUGGAGUCCAUUUUCAGCCUAGGUCAGUUCUGUACUAGAAGUCAGAGACAGCAGGAGCAGAUAAAAUACAAGAAUUCUUACGCAAAAUAAAUAUGGUCAUCUGCAUCGGAAAGUAAACCCCCAAGAAGCAGGGGAAGUAAAGGAUCCAUUGGAAAAUCAGAGAUGGUGAGAAAUAAUCUGGUGUGGAUUUAAGUACCAUUAUAAAGGAACCCUUCAGAACAACUCAAAAGCUAAUAUUAUUGAAAAGGACUUGAAUAAUUGAGAAACGAUCAGAAGUUUUGAAAUGUUAUCAGGGAAAAAAAAAAAAAGAAAUCCAUUUGUUAUUUUUUCCUGCUACCUGUCUAGAAAUAAUUGAUAUAUGAUGAUUUAUUCGAAAUUUAAAAUAUUCCUAAGGAUACGCCUUGGCAAGAUUCAUUGAGCUCUGUCAAAUGUUGCAUUUGUGAGUGCAGAAGAUACUCUUUACAGGAUUGUUGCUGAUGAGAAAUUUAGUCUAAGGAAACCUGAAAGUUAAAUGCUGCUCUGAAAGUGGUAAUUCAUAUAGUAAUUCUUUUUCAUUUAAAAACUGAUUCUGCGACAAGCUGGAUGACAGCAGUCAUUUCUCAGUCCUACUAGCCCUCUUAACCUUACUGUUGAGUUAGAAGUGUAACAGAAAAUGCCUAUGAGAAUAAAAUUUAUCAGUCAGCACAAGUCUAGAUAUAAUGUAAGCUGCAUGUGAAAAAGCACCCUUGUGUUACGAUUGCAUAUUUAUGUUAAUCAUUGCACCCAUAUUUUCACUCCAUUAUAUUAGUUGAGUGCUUAAUCCAAAAUCUGGAUGCAUUCAGGCACAGCAUUCUGUCUCCCCAGGAUUCUUCUGGAGGACACAGAGCUUGAGAUGUUGCUCCAGUAAUAUUUCUAGGUUUAAAAAAAAAUCCAAAUAGUACCGAUGUCCUUGACCAUUUAUUGAGUACAUGACAAAACAAAGCUAAUGGCAUGAAGAAGUGUGAGGUUUAGUCAUACUUUAUUACAUGUAGAAAUAUAUGUCUACUCAUGCUUUUACUGAAGCUGGCAAUGAAAUAAAUUUCACAUUAGCUAGAACAGACCAUACUAAAGAGAACUCAAAGUUGUUCUUGUCUUUUCAGAGGCACUGAUAAAGGGACUCCUGCUUGCUGUCAUUUCAAUUUCUUUUCUCUGCCCCUUAGGAAAAAUGUAGUGAGGGAUAGAGAGAAAAACAGGUUUUUUUUUUCCCCUGGUUAGGAAAUGCCGUAACAGAAUAGUUCAGACAGUUUUAAGUAUCUUUCAAGACCAGCAUCUUAAAAAAAAUCUCUGUGUUGAGACAUAAGUGCUGGUAGAUACAGUUAUGUUUAGAUGCCGUGUGCAAAAAUCCGCAGCGUGAAAGGGAUACACAAACAAGGCCUCUUUCUCUCUAGCAUAAUUGAAUUCUUCCUUUUGUUUAGAUAGUGAAUGUAUUUUUUAUUGUUGGCAGUUCCUUGUGUUAUGAGUUAGUGUACAAUUAUAAUUCAUGCAUAUGUAUUUACAAAAAUGAAUGAGUGACUGGUUCCCUGGGAUUUUUACCAACUUUGGUAUCUGAGCAUCAAUGAAUAUAAAAAGCAAACAAAUACACUGUUAAUAAUAAUUUCCAUAAGACUGCUCCAAAAGAGUAAGCUACAUAUUAACAUGCUGAAAAUGAUUUAGGACAGACCAUAAAUGUCUCUAUUUUAAGUCUUUUGCAGGGACAACUUUGCAAAAUGAAAAUAUUUAUCUAAGGUGAUGGUGAAUAUUUCAUAAAAUCAUCAAAUCUCCUUGCCAGAGGAUACAAGCCAAAUGUUUUUAACUGGAAUAUCAUGCAAAAAU